UUUUUGGAAAAGGUCAACUGAUUCAAGACAUACUGUAUGGCAGUAUGUCUGUCUGAUUGUAGAUCAAAAUAGUGAUGUACUCAUUGUGCACUUGGUUCAUAGACCUACACCUAUGAUGUAUAAUUUUAUUUCAUCGGCCUGUAUGUGUUGAAUGUUUUAUGUUUUCUAUUCAAUAUGAAUGAACAAUCCAACUGCAGCUGUUAGUGAAGGUUGCACUAAAAUGUCGCAAUGACAAAGUUACACUGAAUACUGCACUGAAUGAACCGUUCAAAUGUUACAAAUAAGUUACAAUAUUGAUGUUUUAAUAUACUGGUUACACUAAUAUGAACAACGUUAUGAUAUUUGUUACAAUAAAGUAACAAUUUUGAAUUAUGUUGAUGGUUGUAUGUUUUUUUGUCUUUUAUCUCAAUAUUCCUAGUGUUGUAUAAAGGUUUUUAUGUAUAACAGUAACCCUAGAGUUUAAAAUGUGUUAGUAACUGGGGCUGAGAUAUAUAAGAAUUUUGAUGACUGCAGAAAUACGUUAAUUCAGUAUAAACAUUAUCUCACGAUUGUGAUCGACCAUAAAACACCAUUUUUCACACACUUUUCCAAAAAAUAAUAAUAAUUAUUAUUAUUAUUGAUUAUUUCAGGGGGUUACUAAUGACACUUCAUUUGGAUAUUUUCAUGUCUGGGAAAAAUUUGGGAUUAAAUAAACCCUUCCAAUUCAUGACAGGAACGUGGCAUGUAAAACUACCCCCAUCUGAUCAAAGCACCACUGACGAAAAUAAUGAAAGAAAGUUCCUAAGCAAUUCAAUUCAAAUCUAAGUCAAGUCAAGAGUAUUUCAUCAAGCAUUAUACUUUGGGCUAACUCGAGUUCAAGUUCCUCAUCUUGUGUCCUUACUUGUCAUUAUCAACAAACUAUCACAUCUCACUUGACUUGCUGAUUAACUAAGUCUAUUUUAAUAAGACUGCCAUACUGAUCAAAUUAACAGUGCUGCGUCGUUCAUUGUUUCAAUGAAAAUCAUACGAAGAUAUAAAUACACCAGAUGUAGAUUUUUCUCAAACAACACACAACACACCAUAAUCUCCAAUCACUGACCUAAAUAAUACCUGCAUACACAAAUCCACUUUAUACCAUAUGUCCGACGAGUCAAUGAAAUGGAACACUACCUCUUCAUACUCUUCCAUAUUAAUCUCCUGGUCUCUCUCACACUCUCUCUUGCUCUCUCAUCCAGCUCUCUUUUCUCUCCGUGUACAGUGUUAUUCCACACCUCUAUUAUUUAGGAACAAAGGCUUAUCUAUUCUAAAAAAAGACCUACCUUGGUGUACUCAGCAGAUUACUACACCUGGGACACCAUUACACACACACACACACACACACACACACACACACAGAAAUUAAUUACAACCCUUGCAUUGUUCAAACCACAUCCCCCCAAACAUCGACUCUCAGCAACCGUUCUGUGUUUACAUACUGUAAGGUCCUGUCAUCAGGCCUGUAACACAACACAACAUGGAUGUUAACCACAAGCAGUGAAACCUGAUAAUCAUGAGAAAUAGGACACGAUACAGAACUGUCCAAUUACACAAACACUCUCAUCAAGCUCAUUCAUAUUUAUUUUAUCAUACAUUUAUAUAUGAUGCACAUUUUGUGUACUACGCUGCAAUUCUUACUACCUCUAUAGAUAUAAGGAUUAAAACACUUCAGGACAUGCUGUUAUAGGAAAAUAAUCAACAACGAGAGGGUGCAUUCUGUUACCACCUGUUACGAUCUGGCAUCAUCUGAUAGAAACGGUGUACUUUUUAUACUAUCUGUUUGUGGUUAGAUUUAAUGUUGUGGAACAGUCACAAUACUAGUUAUUUUGUGUUGUUCCUUUAUGCUGCUAAUUACAGCAGUAUAUUAAACAGCUGUUUCUUCACUUUCUCUUGAAGAGUCAUGCUGUUAUAGAAAAUUCUCACCUUCUCACCCAUCAUAUUAAAUAUCAUACUCGUUUGUUCAUUCAAAUUUCAUUUGUUCAGCAAUAAUCUGACUUUUACUGUACUUCCUAGUUUUGUAUUUUGAGAAAUUCUGUCAUAGUUUUCUGCUUUUUCCUUUUUUCGCUGUUGAAAAAAAAGCCGGUUUUGAUCAUUUGCUGGUUAAAAAAAAAACAACUGAGCGCUCUAUACAUUUACUAGGAAUGCCAACAAUAAAUGUACAAUUUAGGUACAGUUAAAUGUAUAGUUAUCUGAUGUUAACUAUAUACUUAUUUACUGUUAGCUAUGUCGAACACAUUGACAGAUUUUAUCUCACCAUAAUAAUCGAAAACGUUCCCCAUUUACGUUGACAGAAAGUGAGUAAGAGAAAGUUCAAGAGGGAAAAUUGAGUCACAACAAGAGCACCAGUCAAAACAUCAGAAAUUUGAGAAGGGGGAAGGGAGCAAGGCAGGUAUCAGUUAAUAUCAGACCGUUCAAUACACUAUUCAAUAUUCAUUUUCAUAUUCAUAUGUGAUUGGCACAUCUACCAUUUUUAUCGGGAUUGUGAGAAGACUAUUUCCACCUCACACCACAUCCAUCCAUCCAUCCAUAUUCUGUACAGCUUAUCCUACACAAGAUUGCGGUGAAGCCUGGAGCCUAUCCCAGGGAAGUUGGGGCACGAGCAGGGGGACACCCUGGACAGGGAGCCAACCCAUGGCAGGACACAAUUGAACGCACAUUCACAUACUACUGACCAUUUGGAAAUGCCUACAGCACAUGUCUUUGGACUGGGGGAGGAAACCAGAGUGCCUAGAGGAAACCCCCGAAGCACGAGGACAACAUACAAGCUCGGUACACACAGGGCAGAGGCGGGAUUUGAACCUCGGAGGUCCAACGCAAACAUGCUAACGGCUGCAUUAUACAGUUUUGAAUACUCAAUAGUGCAUAAGUGUCGAUGGUGCAAUGAUGGAUUAGUUAUAACUGUAAGGUUACGCUGCAAGCCCGUGUGGAUUGUGCCAAUAAGAAGCAGAAGAAUGAUGGGUGGAGAGAGUAAAGACAAAUACAGAAGCAAACAAAAAGAUAUUGAACACUAAGUCUUAUGUUAUUGGGAAUAAUGAGGUACAUUAUGAAUACUAAGGCUUAAAUUAUUGGGAAUAAUUCUCUACUAGACUCUCUCCAGUGGUUUAAACUAAAAGGUGUAAAGCUGCUCCACAGGCUUUGUAUUAUUUCCUGUUAUAGCUGCAAACCAAGACCCACCGGUGGAAAAAGAAUGAAUGAAAGUAAGAGAAUGAUGGUGGUACAUGUGUGUGUGUGUGUGUGUGUGUGUGUGUGUGUGUGUGUUUUAUCCUAAUAAAAUUGAAGGAAGAGUUUAGAUUAGAUUAGUUUCAUCUUCAUGCUGCACCAUGUGCCAAGUCAUCUGAUAGACGAGGAAAUCUACUUACUUAGCCAUACUCUACACAGCUAUAAAUCUAUUCUAAUGAUACAGUCCCUCUCUCACACUCACCCUCUCUCUUCGGCCAGGCUCCAGAUGGUACAUUAAGGAACAGCAUUGUCUUACUCAUCCCUUUCCUGCCUGUCUGUGCAUCAACAAAAAAACAAUGCAUCACAGCUCCGAAUGGAAACGGCGGAGAGGACAGCGUUCCUGAGAUACGCAGUAAUGGCUGCAACAUGAGACACCGUAUAGAUCAACAAUCAAUGAAAACAAUAUGGAACUGAGAUAUGCAAUUAAUCUCAGCGUAGAAGAUCAACCGUAAACACAAGCCUGGGCAGCAUCAGCACUCGUAACAGUAUUCCAUGGGCAGUGCAGAACACUGAUGGCUAACAGAGGCAGUUCAGCAAACACACUUUAUCUGUGUCAGCUGUGGGAAGACCUUAGCGCUGCCCCAAAUGUAUGAUUUCCUGCACUUGUUCUCUGCAGGACAUGCAUGAUUUAGACACAAUUUUCUCGUCAAUGACAAAUCAGCAAUUGUGACUAAGUCAUGCGUGUCCUGCAGAGAACAAGUGCACAGUGUGAGAGGGUAAAUAAAUGUGUUCAUCUGAGCUGCCGGAGGUCAUAAUGAAUUUCAGACAUGUCAGAAAAGCAAGCAUUGUAUUGUGAGCAGUGAUCUGAGAUACACACCAGAAGCCUAUCGCUGUCAGUUAAAGUCAUUUUUAUUAUCAUUGGUUAUGGUUGCUCGGUAAUUAUAUUUAUGUGCUGUAGGGUAUGGCUGUGACUUUUCAUAUAUGUUUUCAUCUAACGGCUAACUAAAUAUGCCCAGUAAUGGUUUUAUGUUCGGUGCCAUUGUCCCCAUUAAAUCUCUUGAUUGAACAUUUUAGACAUUUAAUAAAAAAAUUAUAUAUUACAGAUAAUACUCUUUCUAAUGGAAGUGGAAAGGAAUCCUUAUAUUUCUAUCCUUGUUCUGUUGAUUUCUUGGACUAUGUUUGCUUAAAAUCUGAUGAAAUAGAGGUGUAUUGUGCACAAACCUUUUUUUUUUUUUAAACUGUAGGUUCAUUAGGGCAUUAAUGGAGAAAAUAUAAUGGACAGAAGAAGAAGAAGAAAAAAAUUCAAACUGAACGUGCUGGUUCAUUAGAAUAGGCUUUGGUACUCAAAAACUACAAAUAAACAAACAAACAUUAAUUAGAAAAUGUCUGCACUGGUAGUGAUAAUAUGGUAGAUUAUGAUGUUAGCGGAGAUGGUAAUAGUGGUAGAGAGCCAUUCACGAUCCCUCCAGGAUUUCACGAUUUCUCAAAAUAAAAUGACCACAGAUUGUGGGCAGAUUUGAGCCAAGACGCCUUCGAUUCACGUGCGUCGAACAUGAGUACAGCUAAAAGGUCUCAUUUGCCAACAAACAGCACUGCGAAAGACAAUUUCGUGACAUUGCAAUUUCACCAAUUCGAGCAGUUUUCCGCUAAAAAGCACAAAAAAAAAACCUCAGCAUCUUGCAUCGCACAUCUUGUAAAAAAAGCCACAGCAAAUCAAGCAUUUUUGGCUGCAACGAUCACAAAAAUAUCCUCUACACACUGCAUCCAUAUGAUCAUCUGAUGCUACAUUGUGCUGAUGUGUUAAAGUGUGAACAGUUAGCAUACAGCCAAUGUAUAUGUGAAACAGAGGCAGAGCAACCGUGCAUUAGUAGCUCUGGAGAUAUUGAGAUGUGAAGGUUGUCCAUAAAACUCAUUUCUCAAUACAACUCUAUUUCAGUGAUUUGCUUGUUAAAUGGCCUUGUUUUAUUCCACACAGAAAGCCUGAUGACGUCCUGGAUUCGAUUUAAAAAAAAAAAAAUUCUGAUGGAGACUAAAUAAGUUAGCUAAUUUUAUGAAGUAAAUGAAAGUGUGUUUUCUGUCAUUUAAUAUCAGAUGACAAUAUAGCUGUCCUGGUGACAGAUUGCUAAUAAAUGACAAAAAUGAUUUGACACUGAGAGGACAGGUUUUACAGGAUUUACAGGUGGCAGUGCACAAAUUUGUAAUAAAUAAGAAAUAAAACACAACAUGGAGUGCAGUUCUAGGAAAAUACUGCACAAAAGGUUGCUGUGAAAGUCGAUUAUUUUCCUAUAACAGCACGCCCCAGAGUGUUUUACCCCUCUUUCAGCACAAAUUUCCAACCUUUACAAUUUAUUUAAUGUUGUGGGACAUCCAUGGUAUUGCUCAUGUUGUAGUCGUUAAAGUCGUUAAUCAACACCUUCUGACCAGGUGCAGGAAAUCAACAGUGCUAUGGUAUAAUGUACUAUUAAUCCAUGAGCUCUAUAAUGGCUUGUAAAAUACAGGGUGUCCCUAAGGUUUCCACACAUAGGGGACUACAGUAUGUACACCAGCCUUCAUCAGUGGACGUUCGUGGACGUCCACUUCUCAGUUGGUCCGCAACAAUAACGGUCUUUCUGAAUUAGUGAAUAGGUCAAUGGUAACAGUGGUGUGUGUGAUGUGCUUGCCGUGUUGUCCAUAGCAACCUUGCGACAGCUUGAGAAUCAUUUCAAUACAUUCUUCUUUUGUCAAAGGUGUUCUUAAAGGCUAUCUGGAAUAAAUAAAUAAAUAAAUAAAUAAAUAAAUAAAUAAAAGUUUGGAAAACAUUUGGCUAAAAAGUGUUAAUUUUCCCUAUUAUUUAUUUAUUUACUGUGCGUGUGUAUGUGUGUGUGGGGACAUAUCUGGGAUAAAAUUAUGCUGGAAGGGCCCAUUUUUAAAAUCUUGCCUAAGGCACUACACACACACACACACACACACACACACACACACACACAAUCUGCUCUAGUAGUGCUGAGACUGCAAGAAUAAAGGUAAGUCACGCUGUCUCUGUGCAACUCUUUCUCUCUCGAACCAUCUGUCUCUCCUUUUCUCUUUCUCCCUGACAGAGCAUGUCUUCUCCCUCCUGCAGGCUGAAAGUUCUAGGCCACGUUGUAACAUUUCUCUAUAAGGACGCCCUCUCCGCAAACACAGCAGUUGCUAAAAAAGCAAAUGUCAUUCAUUUUUAAUCUGUCUCUGCAGAGCGUGUGUUGGUCUGCUUCUCUCAGCCUGAGGGAUGGCAGCUUUCAAUAACGUCUUGCCCUUAAUUUGUUUUCCGCUGCAGAGGUAGCAGGAAAAUGUUAGUGCUUUCAUACAAUCGUUCUACACAUCUAACCACAGCCUAAAAUAGAGUCGAGGUGACCUAAAAAUGGACAAACCGUCACUGAGGUUUACUGAAACUGAAGAGAGAGACAGACAGAGAGAGAGAGGGAGAGAGAGAGAGAGAUAGAGAGAGAGAGAGAGAGAGAGAGAGAGAAAGAGUUGGGUGAGAGAGAUAGAGAGAGAGAGAGAGAGAGAGAGAGAGGUGGAGACGAUCUGAAACUGAUCUAAAAACCACUUCCUUCAUUCGUCAGUCUGGAGAUGAAUGUGAACAAACAUGCAAACGACCUGAAGGAAGUCAAACUCUUAUCAUACAGCAGCAGGAGGUUUGACAGCCCAGAGGCUCCACUUCAGCUUCACCAGGGCCCACUGAUCUGACUACACACUGUACCACCCACAGCAGUGUUAAAAUCAGACCUGGAAGCAACACGGCACUCCUUAUAUGAGUCAUUCUUGGGGAAUCCAUCUUUGCUGUACAGAUUUGAAUGACAAAAAAACAACAAAAAAAGUGAGAAUCAAAGACUGAUGUGAAUCAACCUGUGUGGAAGACAGAUUGACGUGUACUCUAUGUGCAGGUGGCACCGUAUAGUAGAUUAAAUGACAGAAUCUUGUUGCACUUUUCUCAGGUCUAUAGUGAAGCAGAACGGUAGUUACUUCCUGUUUUGUGGGUGAGCGCAUGUCAAAAAAAAACAAAACAACACCACACACAGGGGAUAUUUUUGGAGUCACACAAUAUACCGAGAAAUAAAGCAAGCGCAAAAGAGGAAACACCGAACAAGAGUUCCUUCCUGUUUCUGUUUUCUUCUUUUAAACUCUGAGAGAUAGAAAUAGACGAGUGAGGACUAGACGUCCUGGCAACCUGCAACGAGAGCGCGUGAAGCAGAGGUUAUUUCUGG
This is a long non-coding RNA of Ictalurus punctatus (channel catfish), 7397 nucleotides long. RefSeq lists it as uncharacterized. Lineage: Eukaryota; Metazoa; Chordata; Actinopteri; Siluriformes; Ictaluridae. The transcript has 2 exons. The record is from RefSeq and is a predicted model, not a curated record.